Molecule: transfer RNA, 74 nt
Filed under: Entomospira nematocerorum
Lineage: Bacteria; Pseudomonadati; Spirochaetota; Spirochaetia; Spirochaetales; Spirochaetaceae
Rfam family: tRNA
About the family: Transfer RNA (tRNA) molecules are approximately 80 nucleotides in length. Their secondary structure includes four short double-helical elements and three loops (D, anti-codon, and T loops).
Source: Rfam by way of RNAcentral
GCUCCGAUAGCUUAACUGGAUAAAGCCACCGCCUCCUAAGCGGUAGACUGGAGGUUCGAAUCCUCUUCGGGGCA